RNAcentral lists this ribosomal RNA (814 nucleotides) under uncultured Methanomicrobiales archaeon. Its description in RNAcentral is "bacterial SSU rRNA". It matches the Rfam family "Archaeal small subunit ribosomal RNA", at positions 64 to 873 of the family's 1478-position model. The record is from RNAcentral. Lineage: Archaea; Methanobacteriati; Methanobacteriota; Methanomicrobia; Methanomicrobiales.
AGGUGCAAGAGCUAGGGUAUAUUGCUCAGUAACACGUGGACAAUCUAAUCUAUGGAAGGGGAUAACCCGGGAAACUGGGGAUAAUACCCUAUAGACUAUGGAUGCUGGAAUGAUUUGUAGAUCUAAAGGUCCGCCGCCAUAGGAUGGGUCUGCGGCCGAUUAGGUUGUUGUUGGGGUAACGGCCCAACAAGACUGUAAUCGGUACGGGUUGUGGGAGCAAGAGCCCUGAGAUGGAUUCUGAGACAGGAAUCCAGGCCCUACGGGGCGCAGCAGGCGCGAAAACUUUGCAAUGCGGGAAACCGUGACAGGGGAACUCCGAGUGCCCGUAAAAUCGGGCUGUUCCAUCAGUUUAAAUAACUGGUGAAGAAAGGCCGGGCCAAGACCGGUGCCAGCCGCCGCGGUAAUACCGGCGGCCUCGAGUGGUGGCCCACUAUUACUGGGCCUUAAAGCGUUCGUAGCCUGGUUUGUUAAGUCUCUGGGGAAAUCUUCCGGCCUCAACCGGAAGGCGUCUCAGGGGAUACUGGCCAGACUAGGGACCGGGAGAGGUGAGGGGUACUCCAGGGGCUAGGAGUGAAAUCCUGUAAUCCCUUGGGGGACCACCUGUGGCGAAGGCCCCCUCACCAGAACGGCCUCCGACAGUGAGGGACGAAAGCUGGGGGAGCAAACCGGAUUAGAUACCCGGUAGUCCCAGCUGUAAACGAUCCCCGUUAGGUGUAUCGGUGACCACGAGUUACCGAGGUCCGGAAGAGAAAUCGUGAAACCUCCCCCCUGGCAAGUACGGUCCCAAGGCUGAAACUUAAAGGAAUUGCCGGGG